Molecule: long non-coding RNA, 2835 nt
Organism: Columba livia (rock pigeon)
Lineage: Eukaryota; Metazoa; Chordata; Aves; Columbiformes; Columbidae
Exons: 3
Source: RefSeq, a predicted model, not a curated record
UCGCCCGGCUCUCUUCCCCAGUGCGCAUGCGCGGCCCCGCAGGCCAGCUUGGGGGAGCGCGCAUGCGCGGGGGGAGGCGGAGGGUGCGCUGUGGCCUGCGCAUGCGCCGGAGGCAAGGGCCUCCGCAGGGCGUCGUGCCGCGGGGCGGCGGUCGCACGUGGUGCUUUUGAAGUUACUGUGCAAACGGUGCUCCCUUCCGAUCACUGAACAAGCUUCAUUAAGCAAACUUCACUUCAGAAUGUCUGCUGUUCUACAUGCCUGGUUGUGUUCAUGAGAUGUGCAGUUAUCUGUUUCACCGCCAUCAGUGACAAGGACUCUCCUUUUCUCUCUUUCAAGUGCUCUGUGAACAUCACCUUCCAGCCUGUUGAAAAAUCCUCCAUCAUGCAAUGAAGACUGGGAAGAGUUCAGGUCCUGUCAAAAAGUAAAUUCUGUAACAUAUCUUCCUUUACAUGUAAGGCAAAUAGGUGAGUGCAGACAAGUCCAGCUCCUGCUGCACAGAAUGUCAAAGGAUUUAAUUGAGAAGACCAGUACCAGCAACAGUUCAAUGGAGCCAAAAUAAAGAGAUUUACCUAGAGAAUAUAUAUGCUGUAGUCAAAUCAGACAGUGGAUAAUGUAAAUGUAUGAACAGUGAAUAACCUAAGUUACUGUUUACAGCAAAGUUAACCAAAAUGAAGUUGUUCUGAAACUCUGUUCCUUUGAGGUCUAGUGUCUUAAGGAAUCACUACAACCCCCUGUGUAAUGUGCUGCCAAAUGCAAACCUUAUUCUUAAUCAUAGCUCUCUCAUUUUCAUGCCCUUAAAUGAAAUAUUGAUUCAUAAAAAUAAUUAUGUAACCAUCAUUUUCUUGUUCUUUGAAUUUCAAAUUGAGGUUCUUUUCAUUCAUUCCAGAACAAACUGCAAUAGCUGUUAGAGUGAAUAAUUACUUAAGUGGUCUGACUGUACUUUGCUCAAGCUGAGCUGUGUGAUGUACACUACCUUUUUUGUCUAUUGGAACUAUAUAUUCUGAAAAAAAUCUUAUAAGUUCUCAUAUGCCUUACAUAUGCCUAAAAGUGAUUAUAUGGUGUAAAUGCACACACAUUCUUCCUAAUUGUUCAGCAAUUCAUAUGAUCAGUCUCAGACAAGACAAAACCAAAGGGUGGCUUCUAGUUGUCACCACAGUAAACCAGCCCUAUUUGAGCCAUUAUUUGAAACACAGUAAAAUAGCGCUCUCAGCACAAAUUGCUACACGACUGGACACAGACUUGGCUGUACUGUCAUCCCUAGCUGUGUGUUUGGUUUGUGGUUCAACCUUAGCAUCAUCUGGCAGCACUGUGCCUCACUGGCAAGGUUUUUGUGGCGGGUGGAUGGGGAGAUGCCACGGAUCCCCCAAAGAGCACAGUAAUUGCUCUAGAGUUAUUUUUAAAAUAAAAGAAUCCCAAGGUAACUUCACAGACUAUAUGUCAACGAGAUUGAAAUUAAUAAGAAUUGUUUACAACUGAGUUUUUUUUGUCUGGCCAUUUCACCAUCCAGCAAAUAGACCAUAAAAUUAUUUUUUACCUGAAAUAGUCACUUCAUACCACAUAGAAUAAAAAAAUCCUGACCUGCAAGUAGCGAACAAAGGAAAUCUGUACCUUUAAAAGAUAAUUCUGAAUUUAAUUAGCUCUGGAAAUUGUCAAGAGGAUUACUAGGUCAUUACUCCACUGCUAGGACAACCACCUAGAAGCCUGCAAAGUUAAGAACUUGUCUAUACUCUGUUUAAAGAGGCACCUAUACCAAAGCCUAAGCAACAUACAAAGUUAUCAAGGAUAGAAUCCAAAUGUCAGUCUUUUGUCAAUAUGGCUUUCUGUAUCAUGUCUUAAUGAGAACAAGAAGCAGUUCAACACCAUCUUUUUUGGUGAGAUGUAAGUAGAAAAUUUAUCUGUAAAAACACCUUAACUCCAGUUGUUGUCACUUAUUAGCAAUUUGCCUUGAAAAAGUUUGUGCAAAGUUACCCUGAAGUGCAUCUUCAAGUGUGAGACAGCCAAAACUACCAUCCACAGUAAAUGAGUGCAUAGCAGAUAAUUAUUUUACUUAAAGGGAAUUUAGAAAUAGAGUACCAAAAUAUUUCUUUAAGCACCAUCUGAAAAAAUGCACUAGAACUACUUCUUUCUUUGUCCAUCUAUGAUAUUUUGGCCUAAAAUAGUUGAAGUAAUGCAAACAAUUCAGAAAAUUCAUAUAACUCCAUGCCAUUACAAAGACAGCAAACUGUUGUAUUUGUUCAAGGCGAAGAUUGUUUUACUGAUUCGGAUUGAGUGCAUUUUGCUGUGUAAAUUCUGUUUGUGGUAGCUUUGGUGAAAAUACUACACAAGCAGUUGGCUUGAUCUUCAAGUGUUCUUCAAGUGUUAAUGAACCCUACUAACAAUAUUAUUACCAAAAAGAUGUUCUAACAUUAAAAACCAGAGGUUCUUAUGAACUAGUUAUUUCAUGCCUAACAGAACUUGCCAAGCCUGGUUUACUGUGGAACCGUACUGUAUAUCCAUAUAUUGCUCCACCAAAACAUCCCCAGCUUUGCUCCCAUCACAGCAUUUCACCAUCCUUCCAUGGUAGUACUUCUACUUGUUACUCAAAUGAUAUAAAUUCCUCUUAACCAUACUACAGUAUUCACAGUCCAGCUAUGAGGUGUGCAAACAGCAGCCUGUGCUGACUCUAUAUCUAACAAAGGACGGGACCUGAAUUUCCACUGAAACCUUUCCUUCUGUGGGGCAGUAUUUUGUUCCUUCCUUUACAGCCAUCUCUGUUUAUCCAUGAAGCUUAACUUUAUGGAGUAACAUAUUUCAGGAAAGCCAAAGACAGUAAAUACAGUAAGCUGUACUUGCUCA